Molecule: long non-coding RNA, 942 nt
Filed under: Marmota monax (woodchuck)
Lineage: Eukaryota; Metazoa; Chordata; Mammalia; Rodentia; Sciuridae
Source: RNAcentral
CACUGGAUGGGGAGAAAGUGUCUCAUCAAACCUGGAUGAACCUCUUGUGUUUCCUAGAUUAGGAAACACUAAUCUCUUCCAAGAUAAAUCCUCUCCAUGUGCGGCCACCAACUCCCAACCCAGAGACCCAAAUGCCUUAGACCCAAACUGACACGCUCUCAGGGUAACCUACAGAAUGAGCUCAAACUCCUCCUUGACCAGUGGCUCAUUUUCCACCAGGAAAGUGGGUCCUUUCCAGUGGCUGUCAUCCCGCUCCUGAACAAAAGGCUGAGAUGACCUGUGAAGUCUGCGUCCAGCCUGGUCCUUUUGUGCCAACAACUGGCCCCAGCUCUUCUCGUUUGUCCAGGUUAGACCUUUCUGCAUUUCUGCCCUUGGCAAAGCCUGUCGCUGCCCAGCCUUCAGGGCCCCAGAGCCUGUCCCCAGGCCUGGCAGGAAGUGCCCACGGAACAGGGUGGAUGCCUCUCUGCUGGCCCCACUUGAGUUGAGCUGAUGUUAGUCCAGGUCACCCACAGUGAGAGCCAGGAGAGGGAAUGAAUGUCAAGGCUUAAAAGCAGAAGCAACAUGGCUCCUUUGUGAUCUGGUGGCUCUCACCUGGAACAAAGAGGCCACUUGGGGGACUACAGCUGAGGCUGAAGCCCAGCUAAUGCCGAGAGAUCGCCAUUCAGACUCCACCUGUCAAUCACAGAUAGAGGACUGGAACCCGGUUCAGAGGGCCCAGGGCAGUGGAAAUGGUUCUGAGCCAUGAUGGCAAUCACGUGAGUUACCAUAAAGGCACCCUUCCUUCAAGAUGUUGAACUUGGGGUAGACUGCUGUCAGGGGAUACAGAAGAGCUCUUCCUAUUUAGACCUACCUGUCCCCCCCACCCCAAGUAUUUCAUUGUUCCCCAAGUAGCAAGGUUGUUUCCCCAAAUAAAACAUUUUAAAAAUGAAGUAGGUAAAAAUA